This 300-nucleotide unclassified non-coding RNA is filed under the name fungal sp. RNAcentral describes it as "partial internal transcribed spacer region". The stretch from base 1 to 46 matches the Rfam family "Eukaryotic small subunit ribosomal RNA", at positions 1786 to 1831 of the family's 1831-position model. The record is from RNAcentral. Lineage: Eukaryota; Fungi.
AAGUCGUAACAAGGUUUCCGUAGGUGAACCUGCGGAAGGAUCAUUAAUGAAAUGAUGAUUUUUUGGGGUUUUUUAAAUUCCAAAAAAUAAUUCACCUUUUGUGCAUUGUUAUAAGAUAUACUUUGGUUAGAGCUUUGAUUUCAUAUUUUUGAAGUCAACUUCUUGCUAACUCUAUCCUUUCUGAGGACAGUUGGCUAUGAAGCGGCCUACCAAGGUUUUUUUAUCAAACUCUUGUAUUUUUGUCUGACCUAAAAUCAAAUAAUUAAAUCAUAACUUUCAACAACGGAUCUCUUGGCUCUC